ACGAACGCUGGCGGCGUGCUUAACACAUGCCAGUCGAACGGAAAGGCCCCUUUGGGGGUACUCGAGUGGCGAACGGGUGAGUAACACGUGAGUAACCUGCCCUUGACUUCGGGAUAACUUCAGGAAACUGGGGCUAAUACCGGAUAGGAAUCCUUGCUGCAUGGUGGGGGUUGGAAAGCUUCGGCGGUUUUGGAUGGACUCGCGGCUUAUCAGCUUGUUGGUGGGGUAGUGGCUUACCAAGGCUUUGACGGGUAGCCGGCCUGAGAGGGCGACCGGCCACAUUGGGACUGAGAUACGGCCCAGACUCCUACGGGAGGCAGCAGUGGGGAAUAUUGCACAAUGGGCGGAAGCCUGAUGCAGCAACGCCGCGUGCGGGAUGACGGCCUUCGGGUUGUAAACCGCUUUCAGCAGGGGCGAAGCUUGUGGUGACGGUACCUGCAGAAGAAGCACCGGCUAACUACGUG
This 464-nucleotide ribosomal RNA is filed under the name uncultured bacterium. RNAcentral describes it as "partial 16S ribosomal RNA". It matches the Rfam family "Bacterial small subunit ribosomal RNA", at positions 29 to 507 of the family's 1533-position model. The record is from RNAcentral.